GGGCCCGUCGUCUAGCCUGGUUAGGACGCCGCCCUGACGAGGCGGAGGUCCGGGGUUCAAGUCCCCGCGGGCCCACCA
This 78-nucleotide transfer RNA is filed under the name Desulfurococcaceae archaeon. RNAcentral describes it as "tRNA-Val". It matches the Rfam family "tRNA". From Rfam's summary of the family: Transfer RNA (tRNA) molecules are approximately 80 nucleotides in length. Their secondary structure includes four short double-helical elements and three loops (D, anti-codon, and T loops). Further hydrogen bonds mediate the characteristic L-shaped molecular structure. tRNAs have two regions of fundamental functional importance: the anti-codon, which is responsible for specific mRNA codon recognition, and the 3' end, to which the tRNAs corresponding amino acid is attached (by aminoacyl-tRNA synthetases). tRNAs cope with the degeneracy of the genetic code in two manners: having more than one tRNA (with a specific anti-codon) for a particular amino acid; and 'wobble' base-pairing, i.e. permitting non-standard base-pairing at the 3rd anti-codon position. Lineage: Archaea; Thermoproteati; Thermoproteota; Thermoprotei; Desulfurococcales; Desulfurococcaceae. The record is from RNAcentral.